CCCAGUAACCCAAAUCUCACAGCAAAGCAGACUUUAGACCAAAUCCAAUCGGAAAAAUCAAAUCUUGGAUGCCCAACUUUCUCAAAAUUGGAAGUGACAGAUGCAAACCAGUCAAAACCCAAGAUACUAGAAUACCCAAAGAAUCUCAAAACAAAGUUAAGAAAUAGAGAGUACCCAGUUUAAAUAAGUAUAAGAUCCUGGAGGAAGAAGACAAUGAAACAGAAACAACAAUCUUGAAGUUCACAUCAGUUGUUCAAUUAUGUGAACAAAACCCAAUAUUGAGGAUCAUAAGAACAACCAAAUUAAUAAUACUGAAAGAAUAUUCUUGGAUAGUUCAUCAAACAAGAAGAUUGAAAAAAGAAGCCAAUACUGACCUUUCUUUG
This 383-nucleotide long non-coding RNA is filed under the name Panax ginseng (ginseng). RNAcentral describes it as "long non-coding RNA (PGIN_LNC009812)". The record is from RNAcentral. Lineage: Eukaryota; Viridiplantae; Streptophyta; Magnoliopsida; Apiales; Araliaceae.